GCCUGGCUAGAUUAGUCAGUAGAGCAGGAGACUCUUAAUCUCAGGGUCAUGAGUUUGUGCCCCAUGUUGGGCA
Molecule: transfer RNA, 73 nt
Filed under: Patagioenas fasciata monilis
Lineage: Eukaryota; Metazoa; Chordata; Aves; Columbiformes; Columbidae
Rfam family: tRNA
About the family: Transfer RNA (tRNA) molecules are approximately 80 nucleotides in length. Their secondary structure includes four short double-helical elements and three loops (D, anti-codon, and T loops). Further hydrogen bonds mediate the characteristic L-shaped molecular structure. tRNAs have two regions of fundamental functional importance: the anti-codon, which is responsible for specific mRNA codon recognition, and the 3' end, to which the tRNAs corresponding amino acid is attached (by aminoacyl-tRNA synthetases). tRNAs cope with the degeneracy of the genetic code in two manners: having more than one tRNA (with a specific anti-codon) for a particular amino acid; and 'wobble' base-pairing, i.e. permitting non-standard base-pairing at the 3rd anti-codon position.
Source: Rfam by way of RNAcentral